This 465-nucleotide ribosomal RNA is filed under the name uncultured bacterium. Its description in RNAcentral is "partial 16S ribosomal RNA". It matches the Rfam family "Bacterial small subunit ribosomal RNA", at positions 339 to 795 of the family's 1533-position model. The record is from RNAcentral.
CUACGGGGCGCAGCAGUGGGGAAUAUUGGACAAUGGGGGAAACCCUGAUCCAGCAAUGCCGCGUGUGUGAAGAAGGCCUGCGGGUUGUAAAGCACUUUCGGUUGGGAGGACUGCUUCUAGCACUAAUAUUGUUGGAAGUUGACGUUACCUUCAGAAGAAGCACCGGCUAACUCCGUGCCAGCAGCCUCGGUAAUACGGAGGGUGCAAGCGUUAAUCGGAAUUACUGGGCGUAAAGCGCGCGUAGGCGGCUAGAUCAGUCGGGUGUGAAAGCCCCGGGCUUAACCUGGGAACUGCAUCCGAUACUGUCUAGCUUGAGUACAGGAGAGGAGAGUGGAAUUCCACAUGUAGCGGUGAAAUGCGUAGAUAUGUGGAGGAACACCAAUGGCGAAGGCAGCUCCCUGGCCUGAUACUGACGCUGAGGUGCGAAAGCGUGGGGAGCAAACAGGAUUAGAUACCCCUGUAGUC